Molecule: long non-coding RNA, 1462 nt
Organism: Micropterus dolomieu (smallmouth bass)
Lineage: Eukaryota; Metazoa; Chordata; Actinopteri; Centrarchiformes; Centrarchidae
Exons: 3
Source: RefSeq, a predicted model, not a curated record
UGUUUUUGAAUUGCUGGAAUGUGCUGAACCACACCCCUUCAGGCAGCCAAACAGGAAGAGCUGAGAAAGUCAAAGCCGAAAGUAAACACCAAACUUCACAUCUGAAUGAUACUGGCCCUGGAAUACUAUUGUUAGGAGAAAUAACUGAGGAUGGAUUUGAUUGCAAAAGGGUUCUUUUUGUGUUUGGGGGGAAUGAUACUGAGGACUUUCAGUGGGAGUACAUCCAUUCUUGCUUUAUUAAAUACUGCAGUGCUGGUGGGAAUAGGCAUGGUAGUGUACACUCAUUUCAAGAAUCAAAAAUCAGGUAUCAAAGAUCAAUCAUCAUGUAUCAUGGAUCAAGGCUCAAGAAUCAAGGGGGAAAAAGAAAAGCGUGACCGACAAGAGUGACUGAAAAGUUCAUUCCUUUGGAGUUAAAGCGUCUGUGGAAUCAUAACUAUGCAAUACAGCUACAAUCCUUACUGUCGGCUGCAUUUAAAACAUUUUGAAGACAUCAUUGAAGCUAUGGUAGCCUACUGAGACAGUGUAAAUGCAAAUGGGAGUUGGUGCUCACAGAUGACACCUCAGGCUGACAGACAACAUUCCUGGAGGUGUGUAAACAGGAUACCUCUAAACCUUUGAGUUUGUCAGAGCCUGUUUAAUGGUCUUCUUUACCAUUUUGGCAGGGCACACUUUGAUAUGUGAUAUCAUGUAUAUACAUUCUUGACUCUACCAUCAGGUUGUAGAUAUAGAUCCCUGGCAUGGAAACAGGCUCGCUAUAGCAGGAGCUUUAUCCCCUCUGCCAUAGCACUAUUUAACAAAAGUACUUGCUAAGUAAAAAGUAUGUUUGGUUUAUUGUCAAUUUGUGUAUGAAAUGUACUGAUACACAGUAUGUUGUUAGGUAUGUUCAUGUGAGGUAAUGUAGGUAUAGAUGGUGGAAACAAAUUUCAUGAAAAGGAAAAUAAUGAAUCUAAUCUAAUCUAAUAUCACUUGUCUAGUGUCUCUGCCUAAAUGUGAAACAGGAAGGAAGUAUUCUUUUUUGCCUGCCUCUCAUCUGCCCCCAAAUGAUCUAAGAGUGUGGAAUUUUUUGUAUAAAUUUUAUUAUAUAAUUUCCACGGUUUGUAUAACCCAUUUUUCAAGUUUUCUAUAUGACUUGUAUAACAUCCACUGAAGCACAUGACAGAGUCUGGUAAUCUGUUUUAUUGUUGGGGAGAACAGGUGUGCCUAUAGCUGCAAGGUAACCGCCAGACAGGAGACUAUGUCUAGUUUCACUUACUGUUAUUUAAGAAGAAGGUCUCGUGGUUGUGCCGAUAUCUAAAGCUCAGGCAUAUUGUAACGGCUGAACUUCAGUUCAAUUUAAUGUGUGGUGAAAGCAUUGAAAGCACAUUGCUGUAAAUGUAUCAUUCUUUGUCAUAUACAUAGCUGUGUCCUUCAGCCUGGAGCACUUGCUUUGCAUUUCUCAUUUUAAUAAAUAACACAAAGGCAA